CACCCACACCGACCCCUGCUCCAACUCCAGCACCGACCCUUGCACCGACACAUGCACCGACGCCCGUCCCAACCCCUGCUCCAACUCCAGCGCCGACACCUGCACCGACCCCUACACCGACUCCUGCUCUGACGCCUGCUCCAACGCCUGCACCCACACCAGUACCGACUCCUGCCCCGACGCGUGCUCCAACACCUGCACCCACACCCGCACCGACCCCUGUGCCGACUCCAGCCACUACCCCUGCACCGACCCCUGCUCCAACUCCAGCCCCAACACCCGCACCAAACCCUACACCGACUCCUACUCCGACGCCCACGCCGACCCCUACACCGACACCAACACCCACACCGACCCCUGCUCCAACUCCAGCACCGACCCUUGCACCGACACAUGCACCGACGCCCGUCCCAACCCCUGCUCCAACUCCAGCGCCGACACCUGCACCGACCCCUACACCGACUCCCGCUCCGACGCCCGCGCCAACACCUGCACCGACACCUACACCAACGCCUGCCCCGGCACCAUCCCAAAACCCAUGCCCUUCCGGCUUUCCUAACUCGGUCUCAUUUCUUCAAGGCGUCAAAGAUUAUCUUCUUCGCGGCAUCUUUCUCAUCUUGUCCCCUGUCAAGGUCACCCCAGGCACCAGC
This 650-nucleotide long non-coding RNA is filed under the name Sorghum bicolor (sorghum). Its description in RNAcentral is "long non-coding RNA (SBIC_LNC007558)". The record is from RNAcentral. Lineage: Eukaryota; Viridiplantae; Streptophyta; Magnoliopsida; Poales; Poaceae.